AUGCACGCUGGCGGCGUGCCUAAUACAUGCCAGUCGAGCGAACAGACGAGGAGCUUGCUCCUCUGACGUUAGCGGCGGACGGGUGAGUAACACGUGGAUAACCUACCUAUAAGACUGGGAUAACUUCGGGAAACCGGAGCUAAUACCGGAUAAUAUAUUGAACCGCAUGGUUCAAUAGUGAAAGACGGUUUUGCUGUCACUUAUAGAUGGAUCCGCGCCGCAUUAGCUAGUUGGUAAGGUAACGGCUUACCAAGGCAACGAUGCGUAGCCGACCUGAGAGGGGGAUCCGCCACACUGGAGCUGAGACACGGUCCAGACUCCUACGGGCGGCAGCGGUAGGGAAGCGUGCGAGAUGGGCGAAAGCCUGAAGGAGCAACGCCGCGUGAGUGAUGAAGGUCUUCGGAUCGUAAAACUCUGUUAUUGGGGAAGAACAAAUGUGUAAGUAACUAUGCACGUCUUGACGGUACCUAAUCAGAAAGCCACGGCUAACUACGUG
RNAcentral lists this ribosomal RNA (496 nucleotides) under uncultured bacterium. Its description in RNAcentral is "partial 16S ribosomal RNA". It matches the Rfam family "Bacterial small subunit ribosomal RNA", at positions 29 to 507 of the family's 1533-position model. The record is from RNAcentral.